RNAcentral lists this long non-coding RNA (1372 nucleotides) under Hordeum vulgare. Its description in RNAcentral is "long non-coding RNA (HVUL_LNC000575)". The record is from RNAcentral. Lineage: Eukaryota; Viridiplantae; Streptophyta; Magnoliopsida; Poales; Poaceae.
AAGAAGGCGUCCUGGCUGCCCGCGAACCGGUCGACGAUUGGCGCCGUUGUCCCCACCGCGAGUGGGUCUGACUUGAGUUCCUGGUCGGAUUGGAGGAAGCCACGAUUCACCUUCAGGUUGGUGAAGUAGUUCUUGUCGAACUUGUCGGGUGUUGUCGGGUCGAGGUCGUUCAGGGACUGACCGUUGCCGUUCAUUGGGCAUCGCUGGGACAGGAAGGCCCUAUAGCUCGGGCUGAGGGUCGGGUCGGGCCGGUUCGUCCCAUUAAAGUUGUACAAUCUAUCGGUGACAAACUGGCAUUGCACACGACCGAAAGUGUGUGCGCCUACACAUUUAAAACAAAAAUAAGGUUAAUAUUAAAGAUGAAACAAGGACCAUGUAUAAGAAUUCUCUCGAUUUAUAUAUCGGUAUUUAAACUUGGGUUUCUUCUGGAGUUCUUAUGAUCAGUUUUUUCUUGAGUUUUAUUAUCGCUUAUAUAUCUUUCAUCGUCAAUAGUAUAUACAUAUAUUCUCACAAAAAGUGAGGUGUGUAUAUAUAUAUAUGAAGGUAGAAUUACAGAGAGGAGAGGCCGGAGUGCUAUCUUCUUUUUCAUCAAACGAAAAAGUACAAAGACGGUGUCCUGAAAGUAGUGUUAAGGUUUCUAAUUUCGGAAGCAAAAUAAUUUUAGACUUCACCGAAAUAUCUUAAAUUUUGAAACUUUCACAUAUUUUGGAAAUUAUUUCCGCUUUUCAGAUUUCAAUUUUCACUCAAUUUUAAUGAGUUCUAACGUUAUUUUCUAUUAUUUUGAAAUCAGUUUGAAUCCGCCUCGAAAUUUCGGGAUAAAUAUAUUCCAAACCCCGCUGAAAUAGGCAAAAGUUCGUUGAAUUUUGAACCCACCGUUACAUCAAGUUUAUUGACAGUAUUUAUAGUAUCUUUGGAUGUAGUUGUGCUUGUGCGCGAGCUUGGUUACCUGAGAGAGCGACGAGGUCGGUAGUACCGUCAAGCGUGGCGAGUUUGAACUUGUCUGUCAGGUUUUUCAGGCCGUCGAAUGGGCCUGGUAGGUUCCCGGCUUCCGUAAAGUUGGACGUGAAGCCGUCCAGCCUCCCCAGCAAGACGCUCCACCCAGGUCCUCCAGACUGCAUACGCAUAUAUGCCAACUUAAUUAGCGUCCAUUCCUUUGUUACCAUCGACUUUUGCUUGGACAGUUGCAUGCAAAUAUGGCGAAUCCUAACUCAUAUCCUCUACGUUCAGUUGCAUAUGCAUGCAUGUAUAUAUGAUCGUUGUGCUAUAUGCAGGCACUGAGGGAGAACACUCGUUAAACCACGCAGGCCGAAAGCUACAUAGGACCUACUACUACCAAUCAUGCUCGUGGAAAUGGAACUCGAAAAAGGAAAAA